This 460-nucleotide ribosomal RNA is filed under the name uncultured bacterium. RNAcentral describes it as "partial 16S ribosomal RNA". It matches the Rfam family "Bacterial small subunit ribosomal RNA", at positions 338 to 795 of the family's 1533-position model. The record is from RNAcentral.
UCUACGGUAGGCAGCAGUGAGGAAUAUUGGUCAAUGGGCGCGAGCCUGAACCAGCCAAGUAGCGUGAAGGAUGACUGCUCUACGGGUUGUAAACUUCUUUUAUAAAGGAAUAAAGUGAGGCACGUGUGCCUUUUUGUAUGUACUUUAUGCAUAAGGAUCGGCUAACUACGUGCCAGCAGCCGCGGUAAUACGGAGGAUCCGAGCGUUAUCCGGCUUUAUUGGGGUUAAAGGGAGCUGAGAUGGGUUUUUAAGUCAGUUGUGAAAGUUUGCGGCUCAACCGUAAAAUUGCAAUUGAUACUGGCAGCCUUGAGUAGAUUUGAGGUAGGCGGAAUGCGUGGUGUAGCGGUGAAAUGCUUAGAUAUCACGAAGAACUCCGAUUGCGAAGGCAGUUCACUGGACUGCAACUGACACUGAGGCUCGAAAGUGUGGGUAUCAAACAGGAUUAGAUACCCUAGUAGUC